Molecule: ribosomal RNA, 437 nt
Filed under: Dehalococcoidia bacterium
Lineage: Bacteria; Bacillati; Chloroflexota; Dehalococcoidia
Description: partial 16S ribosomal RNA
Rfam family: Bacterial small subunit ribosomal RNA
Source: RNAcentral
CAACUUGAGAGUUUGAUCCUGGCUCAGAACGAACGCUGGCGGCAGGNNNNNNNNNNGAUUUAUCGAGCAGUGGCAAACGGGUGAGUAACGCGUGGGAACGUGCCCUUCACUACGGAAUAGCCCAUGGAAACGUGGAUUAAUACCGUAUACGCCCUUCGGGGGAAAGAAUUUCGGUGAAGGAUCGGCCCGCGUCUGAUUAGGUAGUUGGUGGGGUAAUGGCCUACCAAGCCGACGAUCAGUAGCUGGUUUUAGAGGAUGAUCAGCCACACUGGGACUGAGACACGGCCCAGACUCCUACGGGAGGCAGCAGUGGGGAAUCUUAGACAAUGGGGGCAACCCUGAUCUAGCCAUGCCGCGUGAGUGAUGAAGGUCUUAGGAUCGUAAAGCUCUUUCGCCUGUGAUGAUAAUGACAGUAGCAGGUAAAGAAACCCCGGCUA